Molecule: ribosomal RNA, 502 nt
Filed under: uncultured bacterium
Lineage: Bacteria
Description: partial 16S ribosomal RNA
Rfam family: Bacterial small subunit ribosomal RNA
Source: RNAcentral
AUUGAACGCUGGCGGCAUGCCUUACACAUGCAAGUCGAACGGCAGCACGGGAGCUUGCUCCUGGUGGCGAGUGGCGAACGGGUGAGUAAUACAUCGGAACGUACCCAGGAGUGGGGGAUAACGUAGCGAAAGUUACGCUAAUACCGCAUAUUCUGUGAGCAGGAAAGCGGGGGAUCGCAAGACCUCGCGAGCUUGGAGCGGCCGAUGUCGGAUUCACUAGUUGGUGAGGUAAAAGCUCACCAAGGCGACGAUCCGUAGCAGGUCUGAGAGGAUGAUCUGCCACACUGGGACUGAGACACGGCCCAGACUCCUACGGGAGGCAGCAGUGGGGAAUUUUGGACAAUGGGGGCAACCCUGAUCCAGCCAUGCCGCGUGAGUGAAGAAGGCCUUCGGGUUGUAAAGCUCUUUCGGCGGGGAAGAAAUGGCAACGGCUAAUAUCCGUUGUUGAUGACGGUACCCGCAUAAGAAGCACCGGCUAACUACGUGCCAGCAGCCGCAGUAA